AGCUCUCGCACUACACCGGGUGGAUGCUCCACUCCCACGCCGUGCGGCACGCCGCCCGCGCCGUCGAGUGGCACCUCUCCGACCACACCGGGUGGAAGCUACUACCCGCCCACGCCGUCCAUUGGCGACGUGCCACCCUCGCCGUCCAGCGACACCUCUCCGACCACACCGGGCGGAGGCUCCCCGUCCACGCCAUGCGACACGCCGCCCUCGCCGUCCAGUGGCACGUCCCCGACCACGCCAGGUGGAGGCUACUACCCGCCCACGCCAUCCGUCGGCGACGUGCCUCCCUCGCCGGCCAGUGGCACCUCCCCAUCCACGCCAGGUAGUGGAGGCUACUCUCCGUCCACGCCAUGCAGUGCGCCGCCGUCGCCUUCAAGUGGCACCUCCCCAACCACGCCGGGUGGAGGCUAUUCUCCUUCCACGCCGUGCAAUGCGCCGCCCUCCCCUUCAAGUGACACCUCCCCGACAACACCUGGUGGCGGCAACUACCCGCCCGCGCCCACCAUUGGCAACGUCCCGCCAUCGCCAUCCAGCGGCACCUCCCCGAGCACACCGGGUGGUGGCUGCUCAUCCUCACCCACGCCAUGCGACGCGCCGCCCUCGCCAUCCAGUGACACUUCCCCGACAACACCGGGUGGAGGGUACUACCCGCCCACGCCGUCCAUCGGCACCUCGCCAUCCACACCGGGCACCGGCGGAGGCUACUACCCUCCCUCCCCUUCCACCGGCGGCUACACGCCGACUCCGGACGUUCCGAUCAGCACCCCGUCGAGCCCCUACUCCCCGCUGG
Molecule: long non-coding RNA, 793 nt
Filed under: Oryza sativa (Asian cultivated rice)
Lineage: Eukaryota; Viridiplantae; Streptophyta; Magnoliopsida; Poales; Poaceae
Description: long non-coding RNA (OSAT_LNC001379)
Source: RNAcentral